Molecule: long non-coding RNA, 316 nt
Filed under: Homo sapiens (human)
Lineage: Eukaryota; Metazoa; Chordata; Mammalia; Primates; Hominidae
Description: non-protein coding lnc-ROBO4-1:1
Source: RNAcentral
GAAAAAACAAGAAGGCAAAAAGUCUUGGCCAGCAGGAGUCUCAGAUUGCAUCUUCAGAGAUCACAGAGCAGAAAGCCAAAGAAGCCAGGAGCCAGACAUUGAAGAGAAAUUUCCUCUGGAGGCUUGCUCAGAAGGGCACCUGGUGCUUCCCCUCUCUUCUCCCUCUUACAAGCAACGAAGGGGGAGUUAGAAAACACAAAACACCAGAACUAGGGAUGAAGGAAGGCACUGCUUAAACUGGUCACCAGGACAGCACAUCACCAGAGCCCCAGAACAGAGCUUCUCUGAAAUAGCAAUUGGGGCGGCUCCCACCAAG